This 1368-nucleotide ribosomal RNA is filed under the name Mycobacterium sp. DWMJ-341A1. RNAcentral's name for it is "bacterial SSU rRNA". It matches the Rfam family "Bacterial small subunit ribosomal RNA", at positions 69 to 1440 of the family's 1533-position model. The record is from RNAcentral. Lineage: Bacteria; Bacillati; Actinomycetota; Actinomycetes; Mycobacteriales; Mycobacteriaceae.
GAAGGCCCUUCGGGGUACUCGAGUGGCGAACGGGUGAGUAACACGUGGGUGAUCUGCCCUGCACUUUGGGAAAAGCCUGGGAAACUGGGUCUAAUACCGAAUAGGACCAANNNNNANUAGANCGCGCUUCAUGGUGUGUGGUGGAAAGCUUUUGCGGUGUGGGAUGGGCCCGCGGCCUAUCAGCUUGUUGGUGGGGUAAUGGCCUACCAAGGCGACGACGGGUAGCCGGCCUGAGAGGGUGACCGGCCACACUGGGACUGAGAUACGGCCCAGACUCCUACGGGAGGCAGCAGUGGGGAAUAUUGCACAAUGGGCGCAAGCCUGAUGCAGCGACGCCGCGUGAGGGAUGACGGCCUUCGGGUUGUAAACCUCUUUCAAUAGGGACGAAGCGCAAGUGACGGUACCUAUAGAAGAAGCACCGGCCAACUACGUGCCAGCAGCCGCGGUAAUACGUAGGGUGCGAGCGUUGUCCGGAAUUACUGGGCGUAAAGAGCUCGUAGGUGGUUUGUCGCGUUGUUCGUGAAAACUCACAGCUUAACUGUGGGCGUGCGGGCGAUACGGGCAGACUAGAGUACUGCAGGGGAGACUGGAAUUCCUGGUGUAGCGGUGGAAUGCGCAGAUAUCAGGAGGAACACCGGUGGCGAAGGCGGGUCUCUGGGCAGUAACUGACGCUGAGGAGCGAAAGCGUGGGGAGCGAACAGGAUUAGAUACCCUGGUAGUCCACGCCGUAAACGGUGGGUACUAGGUGUGGGUUCCUUCCUUGGGAUCCGUGCCGUAGCUAACGCAUUAAGUACCCCGCCUGGGGAGUACGGCCGCAAGGCUAAAACUCAAAGGAAUUGACGGGGGCCCGCACAAGCGGCGGAGCAUGUGGAUUAAUUCGAUGCAACGCGAAGAACCUUACCUGGGUUUGACAUGCACAGGACGCCGGCAGAGAUGUCGGGUUCCCUUGUGGCCUGUGUGCAGGUGGUGCAUGGCUGUCGUCAGCUCGUGUCGUGAGAUGUUGGGUUAAGUCCCGCAACGAGCGCAACCCUUGUCCUAUGUUGCCAGCGGGUUAUGCCGGGGACUCGUAGGAGACUGCCGGGGUCAACUCGGAGGAAGGUGGGGAUGACGUCAAGUCAUCAUGCCCCUUAUGUCCAGGGCUUCACACAUGCUACAAUGGCCGGUACAAAGGGCUGCGAUGCCGUGAGGUGGAGCGAAUCCUUUCAAAGCCGGUCUCAGUUCGGAUCGGGGUCUGCAACUCGACCCCGUGAAGUCGGAGUCGCUAGUAAUCGCAGAUCAGCAACGCUGCGGUGAAUACGUUCCCGGGCCUUGUACACACCGCCCGUCACGUCAUGAAAGUCGGUAACACCCGAAGCCGGUGGCCUAACC